This 253-nucleotide ribosomal RNA is filed under the name uncultured bacterium. RNAcentral describes it as "partial 16S ribosomal RNA". It matches the Rfam family "Bacterial small subunit ribosomal RNA", at positions 524 to 776 of the family's 1533-position model. The record is from RNAcentral.
UACGGAGGGCGCAAGCGUUGUUCGGAAUUACUGGGCGUAAAGCGCGUGUAGGCGGCCAGGUAAGUCGGGUGUGAAAUCCCGGGGCCCAACCCCGGAACUGCACUCGAUACUGCCCGGCUGGGGUCCCGGAGAGGAUGGCGGAAUUUCCGGUGUAGAGGUGAAAUUCGUAGAUAUCGGAAGGAACACCAGUGGCGAAGGCGGCCAUCUGGACGGUGACUGACGCUGAGACGCGAAAGCGUGGGGAGCAAACAGG